GUCUACAGCCUUCCCACCCUGAAUGCAUCCAUCUCAUCUGAUCUCAGAUGCUAAGCAGGGUCAGGCCUGGUUAGUACUUGGAUGGAAGACCACCUGGGAAUACUUGGUGCUGUAGGCU
This is a ribosomal RNA of Balaenoptera musculus (blue whale), 118 nucleotides long. Lineage: Eukaryota; Metazoa; Chordata; Mammalia; Artiodactyla; Balaenopteridae. The record is from Ensembl.